This 72-nucleotide transfer RNA is filed under the name Camelus bactrianus (Bactrian camel). It matches the Rfam family "tRNA". Rfam says of the family: Transfer RNA (tRNA) molecules are approximately 80 nucleotides in length. Their secondary structure includes four short double-helical elements and three loops (D, anti-codon, and T loops). RNAcentral also lists the same sequence under 2 other names. The record is from Rfam by way of RNAcentral. Lineage: Eukaryota; Metazoa; Chordata; Mammalia; Artiodactyla; Camelidae.
GAUGGUAUAGUUCAGUGGUAGAGUGCAUGCCUAGCACUCAUGAGGUCCUGGGUUCAAUCCCCAGUACCGCCG